GGUUCGAUCCUGGCUCAGAUUGAACGCUGGCGGGAUGCUUUACACAUGCAAGUCGAACGGCGGCACGGACUUCGGUCUGGUGGCGAGUGGCGAACGGGUGAGUAAUGUAUCGGAACGUGCCUAGUAGCGGGGGAUAACUACGCGAAAGCGUAGCUAAUACCACAUACGCCCUUCGGGGGAAAGCAGGGGACCUUCGGGCCUCGCACUAUUAGAGCAGCCGAUAUCCGGAUUAGCUAGUUGGUGGGGAGUAACGGCUCGCAGAGGCGACGAUCCGUAGCUGGUUUGAGAGGACGACCAGCCACACUGGGACUUUGAGACACGGCCCAGACUCCUACGGGAGGCAGCAGUGGGGAAUUUUGGACAAUGGGGAAACCCUGAUCCAUGCAUCCCGCGUGUGCGAUGAAGGCCUUCGGGUUGUAAAGCACUUUUGGCAGGAAAAAAACGGCACGGGAUAAUACCCGUGCAACUGACUGACGAUACCUGCAGAAUAAGCACCGGCUAACUACGUGCCAGCAGCCGCGGUAAUACGUAGGGUGCAAGCGUUAAUCAAAAUUACAGGGCGUAAAGCGUGCGCAGGCGGUUCCGGAAGAAAGAUGUGAAAUCCCAGAGCUUAACUUUGGAACUGCAUUUUUAACUACCGAGCUAGAGUGUGUCAGAGGAAGGUGAAUUCCGCGUGUAGCAGUGAAAUGCGUAGAUAUGCGGAGGAACACCGAUGGCGAAGGCAACCUCCUGGGAUAACACUGACGCUCAUGCACAGCGUGGGGAGCAAACAGGAUUAGAUACCCUGGUAGUCCACGCCCUAAACGAUGUCAACUAGCUGUUGGGGCCUUCGGGCCUUGGUAGCGCAGCUAACGCGUGAAGUUGACCGCCUGGGGAAGUACGGUCGCAAGAUUAAAACUCAAAGGAAUUGACAGGGACCCGCACAAGCGGUGGAUGAUGUGGAUUAAUUCGAUGCAACGCGAAAAACCUUACCUACCCUUGACAUGUCUGGAAUCCCGAAGAGAUUUGGGAGUGCUCGCAAGAGAACCGGAACACAGGUGCUGCAUGGCUGUCGUCAGCUCGUGUCGUGAGAUGUUGGGUUAAGUCCCGCAACGAGCGCAACCCUUGUCGUGGAUUGCUGAGGCACUCUAAUGAGACUGCCGGUGACAAACCGGAGGAAGGUGGGGAUGACGUCAAGUCCUCAUGGCCCUUAUGGGUAGGGCUUCACGUCAUACAAUGGUCGGGACAGGGUGCCAACCCGCGAGGGGCCCAAUCCCAGAAACCCGAUCGUAGUCCGGAUCGCAGUCUGCAACUCGACUGCGUGAAGUCCGGAAUCGCUAGUGAUCAUGACGGAUCAGCAUGUCGCGGUGAAUACGUUCCCGGGUCUUGUACACACCGCCCGUCACACCAUGGGAGUGGGGUUUUACCAGAAGUAGUUAGCCUAACCGUAAGGGGAGGGCGAUUACCACGGUAGGAUUCAUGACUGGGGUGAAGUCGUAACAAGGUAGCACCAGGGCAUCAGGUAGUAACGGAGAACACCUUGUUGCGACUUCGCCCCAGUCAUGAAUCUACCGUGUAUCCUUUUCGCUACGGUUAGGUAACGCUUCUGUGCCUCCCAUGUUGUGACAGACGUGUAAGACCCGGGGUGUGUUCGCCCGGCAUCCCGAUCACGACCUAGCACGAUUCGACUUCCGUCGAGUGCGGUGGACACGAUAAGUUUCGCUCCCAGCUUCUGUCCCGACGACCAGCGACGAUGUGAGCCGCCAAAGGGCAUGUGACGUCAUCCCGCGUGCCGGCAGUCUCAUUAGGUACUCGUAACAACUAAUGACGCAGGUGCGCUUCGUUGCUGGAUAACCCAACAUCUCGACACAGCUGACGGCUGUACCUGUUCGGGCUAUGCGCGGCACUGUCUAACCGAGUUCCAGGCAUGUCAGGAGCAGGUGCGCGUUACGUCAUCCACAUCAUCCCGCCGCCUGUGCCGAUUCCCACGUCAGUCCCUUUGAGUUUCCCCAGACGGUCAACUUCACGCGUUAGCGUCUUUCUGUAGUUGACAUCGUUUAGGGCGUGGACUACAGAGUAUCUAAUCCUAUUUUGCUCCCCACUUCGUGCGUGUCGAUGUUUUACUCCCAGGCUGCCUUCGCCAUCGGUCGCAUAUCUACGCAUUUCUGACAUACAGCUCGGUAGUUAAAAAUGCGGUUCAAAGUUAAGCUCUGGGAUUUCAUCUUCUUUCACGCGCAGUAAUUCCGAUUAACGCACGCCUGCCCGUGCGUGCGCUUCCGGUAAGCCCCUGCAGAACGCAGAUAUUUGCACGGGCUAUUCAUGAUCCCGUGCCGUUCUUUCACUGUACUUUACAACCCGAAGGCCUUCUGCACGCGGGAUCUCUUCCGAGGUUUCCCCAUUGUACAGGAGACGGGCGUGUCUCGGUAUCCCAGUUGUGAAAACGGUCACAAGCUGCAGAUCUCGCCUUGAGCCCUGGCUAACCAAUCCAUUAUCGGCCCUCUCUAUGCCGGGCCCCGCCCGAAAGGCGUAGCCGUAUUAUGCACUUUCGCGUGAGUUGUCCCCGCUACUAGGCGUUCCAGCCGACCAACUCACCCGUUCCGCCACUCGCCACGCGCAAAACCGAGUCCGUCUUCUUUGCGUGUGUCGGAACAUCCGCCAUGCAUGAUCGGCCA
RNAcentral lists this unclassified non-coding RNA (2651 nucleotides) under uncultured Bordetella sp. RNAcentral's name for it is "partial 16S-23S ribosomal RNA intergenic spacer". The stretch from base 1 to 1525 matches the Rfam family "Bacterial small subunit ribosomal RNA". The record is from RNAcentral. Lineage: Bacteria; Pseudomonadati; Pseudomonadota; Betaproteobacteria; Burkholderiales; Alcaligenaceae.